RNAcentral lists this ribosomal RNA (349 nucleotides) under Escherichia coli. RNAcentral's name for it is "bacterial SSU rRNA". It matches the Rfam family "Bacterial small subunit ribosomal RNA", at positions 1 to 346 of the family's 1533-position model. Lineage: Bacteria; Pseudomonadati; Pseudomonadota; Gammaproteobacteria; Enterobacterales; Enterobacteriaceae. The record is from RNAcentral.
AAAUUGAAGAGUUUGAUCAUGGCUCAGAUUGAACGCUGGCGGCAGGCCUAACACAUGCAAGUCGAACGGUAACAGGAAACAGCUUGCUGUUUCGCUGACGAGUGGCGGACGGGUGAGUAAUGUCUGGGAAACUGCCUGAUGGAGGGGGAUAACUACUGGAAACGGUAGCUAAUACCGCAUAACGUCGCAAGACCAAAGAGGGGGACCCUCGGGCCUCUUGCCAUCGGAUGUGCCCAGAUGGGAUUAGCUUGUUGGUGGGGUAACGGCUCACCAAGGCGACGAUCCCUAGCUGGUCUGAGAGGAUGACCAGCCACACUGGAACUGAGACACGGUCCAGACUCCUACGGGA